Molecule: ribosomal RNA, 400 nt
Filed under: uncultured bacterium
Lineage: Bacteria
Description: bacterial SSU rRNA
Rfam family: Bacterial small subunit ribosomal RNA
Source: RNAcentral
UAGGGAAUAUUGCGCAAUGGGGGCAACCCUGACGCAGCAACGCCGCGUGAGUGAGGAAGGCCUUCGGGUCGUAAAGCUCUGUUCUUAGGGAAAAAUGGUUAUGGAGCUAAUACCCCAUGGCUUGAUGGUACCUAAGGAGAAAAGACCGGCUAACUUCGUGCCAGCAGCCGCGGUAAUACGAAGGGUCUAAGCGUUGUUCGGAUUUAUUGGGCGUAAAGCGCGCGCAGGUGGAUCAGCAAGUCAGAUGUGAAAUCUCAGGGCUCAACCCUGAAACUGCGUCUGAAACUGCUAGUCUAGAGUGUUGGAGGGGGUAGGGGAAUUUCACGUGUAGGGGUAAAAUCCGUAGAGAUGUGAAGGAACACCGGAGGCGAAGGCGCCUACCUGGACAACUACUGACACU